CCCUUAGAUGUCCUGGGCCGCACGCGCGCUACACUGAUGCAUGCAACGAGUUUAUAACCUUGGCCUGAAAGGUCUGGGUAAUCUUUUGAACGUGCAUCGUGAUAGGGAUAGGUUAUUGCAAUUGUUAAUCUUGAACGAGGAAUUCCUAGUAAACGCGAGUCAUCAGCUCGCAUUGAUUACGUCCCUGCCCUUUGUACACACCGCCCGUCGCACCUACCGAUUGAAUGGUUCGGUGAAGAUCUCGGACUUCGAUAUUUAUUCUUUAUUGGGUUUAUAUUGUGGGAAGUUAUCUAAACCUCAUCAUUUAGAGGAAGGUGAAGUCGUAACA
RNAcentral lists this ribosomal RNA (328 nucleotides) under uncultured eukaryote. Its description in RNAcentral is "partial 18S ribosomal RNA". It matches the Rfam family "Eukaryotic small subunit ribosomal RNA", at positions 1470 to 1796 of the family's 1831-position model. The record is from RNAcentral.